UCCCUGGUGGUCCAGUGGUUAAGAAUCUGCCUGCCAACGCAGAGGACAUGGGUUCGAACCCUGUCCAGGAAG
RNAcentral lists this transfer RNA (72 nucleotides) under Ovis aries (sheep). It matches the Rfam family "tRNA". From Rfam's summary of the family: Transfer RNA (tRNA) molecules are approximately 80 nucleotides in length. Their secondary structure includes four short double-helical elements and three loops (D, anti-codon, and T loops). Further hydrogen bonds mediate the characteristic L-shaped molecular structure. tRNAs have two regions of fundamental functional importance: the anti-codon, which is responsible for specific mRNA codon recognition, and the 3' end, to which the tRNAs corresponding amino acid is attached (by aminoacyl-tRNA synthetases). tRNAs cope with the degeneracy of the genetic code in two manners: having more than one tRNA (with a specific anti-codon) for a particular amino acid; and 'wobble' base-pairing, i.e. permitting non-standard base-pairing at the 3rd anti-codon position. Lineage: Eukaryota; Metazoa; Chordata; Mammalia; Artiodactyla; Bovidae. The record is from Rfam by way of RNAcentral.